UACAGAGGAGCCAAGCGUUGUCCGGAUUGACUGGGCGUAAAGCGCACGCAGGCGGCACCGCGCGUGGGGUGUGAAAUCUGGCCGCUUAACGGCCAGGCGCCAUCCCAUACGGCGGAGCUGGAGUGAUGCAGAGGUCGGUGGAAUUGCCGGUGUAGUGGUGAAAUGCGUAGAGAUCCGGAGGAACACCGCAGGCGAAGGCAGUGUCCUGGCGCGUACCUGACGCUGAGGUGCGAAAGCUAGGGGAGCGAACGGG
RNAcentral lists this ribosomal RNA (253 nucleotides) under uncultured bacterium. RNAcentral's name for it is "partial 16S ribosomal RNA". It matches the Rfam family "Bacterial small subunit ribosomal RNA", at positions 524 to 776 of the family's 1533-position model. The record is from RNAcentral.